Molecule: long non-coding RNA, 1296 nt
Organism: Rosa chinensis
Lineage: Eukaryota; Viridiplantae; Streptophyta; Magnoliopsida; Rosales; Rosaceae
Exons: 3
Source: RefSeq, a predicted model, not a curated record
AGUGAUAAAACAGAACAUUACUAUAACAAAACCGAAGAGCUAAGCAAUCCCAGUAGGAGUCCUCCUUCUAAUUUCUUGAAUCAAAGCCAUUAAUCCCGUCCAAGAUGGCAAUUGCUUCAGCCACUACUGCCGACCCACAGAUGCUCGAUCUAGUAGAGCCACCAAUACCAUUACCCAGAUUGUCUCUUAUCAUAACUCCAUAGCCACUUGAAGAAGACGGAUCAGACCAUGAGGCAUCGCAAUUUAUUUUUGCAAACCCAGGAGGAGGAGGGGUCCAUAUGCUAGAUGGCAAGGUCAACGGAAUUAUAAUGGGUGGACUCGGCCUAUUUACUUGCCAGAAUUCAUUAGCUAGAAUGAUCCCACUGAAGAUAAUGGCCUGGGGGUAGAGCGGUUUCCUCUGAUAUAAGUACUCGCAUCUUGCAACCCAUAUCUUCCAGCAAAUGAAGCUAAUCAAGGAUGAGUAACCUGAACAAUUUGAACUUUUCUCCACUGGAGACAACAGGCACAGGAUACCACAAAUAGGUCCAUGAUGUGCUCCAGCAUCUAAAAGCUGAAUAUCCUGGAUACGAUCCAAGAGCCAAGUCAGAACAUACUUACUCCUGCACAAGCUGCCGCUUUGGAAGCGAAUAGAGCUACUAUGGAGGAAAACCAAUCUAAAGCCAUCAUUCUCAUCACAAGGCACAUGAAUGAUGCGCUCCGGAAUGAGUACCUCAAUGAAGAGGACUCUAGAAAGCUAUGGGUAGAACUCGAGCAGCGAUUUGGCAACGUUCGUGACUCCCUGCUUCCAGUUCUAGAAGUGAGAUGGCAUAGCCUUCACUUCUGUGAUUUCAAGUCUGUACUUGACUACAAUUUAGAAGCCCUUCGUAUCAAGUCCUUAAUGGAGUUCUGUGAAAAGAACAUCACUGAUACGAUGUUGAUCUAGAAGACUCUCUCUACCUUCCCUAUCUUUGCACUGAUAAUUUCCAAGAAUUAUCGGAUCGAUGUAAAUGCAGAACACAUCACAAGGUUUCAUGAGCUUAUUUGUCACGCCCCGAAUUUUGAAUAACAAAUUCAAAUCAGAAACAUGAAUAAUAACCAAAACAAAUAACGUCCUGAAUUUUUUUCUUAACCAGCGUCUCGCAAAACCAAAAUACAAACCUCGUAGCAAACUAUCUCUCGAGUCAAAUAUUACAAUACCACCAUAAAUAAAAGUUACGCUCAAAAGAUUCUGCAACACACCAAAAAUAGGUUAAGUGCUGACGUCAACCCCGCUGAUCUACUCAGCUCGCUCUCCACCCUGAUUAUCCUGACUUGUAG